GUUAGAUUCCAGAGGACAUCUAUAUUGCAGCGGGUAAUUUGGAAGAGCUGUCUACCCUGAAUAAAGCGUACCUGAUCCGCGUGGACUAAAUGGGUUAGGAAAGGGUUCAAUCUCCCGCAAGUAUCUUGGCUAGGAUGUUGCUAUCGUGGUUGAUUAGUGAAAUUGGGUGGUAUGCCUCCGGCAUAUUGGUAUCUUUGGCCGAUUUAGGGAGGAGGACUAUGUUAGCCCUGGUCAUGUCUCUGUCAGGCAAGUGUCCAGACAUUAGACCGUUAAAGAGGGAUUGCAAGUGCGGGAUUAG
Molecule: non-coding RNA, 298 nt
Organism: Pelobates cultripes (western spadefoot toad)
Lineage: Eukaryota; Metazoa; Chordata; Amphibia; Anura; Pelobatidae
Source: the annotation of a GenBank genome assembly